AAGGACUCUAUUAAAGAGCCAGGUUAAAGCCAAAGAAGGAAUGAAGGAAGAUAUUAGGGAGCCAGAUUAGAGCUGAAGAAAGGGAAAAAAGAGGGAAGAAAGGAUUUAUUAGGGAGCCAAAUUACAACCAAGGAAGGAAGAGCCAGGUUAGAGCCAAAAAGGAAGGAAGGAAGAUAUUAGGGAGCCAGAUAACAGCCAAGGAAAGAAGGAAGGAAGGUAUUUGGGAGCCAGGUUAGAGCUGAAAAAAGGAAGGAAAGAAUUAAGGAAGGAAGGACUGUAUUAGGGAGCCGCAUUAGAACCAGGGAAGGAAGGAAAAAAUUCAUUAGGGAGUGAGGUUGGGGACAGAGAAAGAAGGAAAGAAGGCAAGAAGGACUGUAUUCUUGAGCCAGGUUGUAACUAGAAAAGGCACCUUUCUAUCUCCCCCCCCCCCCCCCGCACAUACACAUCCCCGAUCACCUGGUCCGGCGUGGGC
Molecule: long non-coding RNA, 472 nt
Filed under: Anolis carolinensis (green anole)
Lineage: Eukaryota; Metazoa; Chordata; Lepidosauria; Squamata; Anolidae
Description: lncRNA (ENSACAG00000037594.1)
Source: RNAcentral